CCUCAAAACUCUAACAAAUCUCCUCACCUAUUCUUCUUUCUUUCUUCCUCACUUGUCUCUCUAUCUUGUCUUUUUAGCAAGACUUCCACUAGAUCUUGACCAGUCUCUUCUUUUCUUCUUUUUACUUGUUCAUCUUCAAACCAGGUUUUUGAUUUCUUGGUUUUCUUUUCUUUCAGUUCUUUCUUACUUUGUUAUGUAAUUCUCUGUUAGCCAAUACUGUUUUCCUUCAUGUUUUCUCAAAGUUCUUUGAUGGCAAAAAAGAAACUGACCCAAAAACUUCAAAGCCAUGAAUUACCAUAAACAAAGAGAAGUAGUUGAAGUUGUUUCUUUUGUGUGUUUCUUUUUAUUUUUUCUUUUUUCAUUUAAGAUUUUCUUUUUAUAAUUUAAAUGUAUAUUGUAACCAUAACCAUUUGUUAAAUGCCAUCUGUACCCACUGAAGCACAUAAAAUGGGCAGAUCUGAGUUGUGUUGUUUAACCUUUUUUCUGGUUCUCCAAAAUUAAUUUUAUUUCACAAAACGAGCAAACAAACAAAAAUUUCCCUUCUGUAAAACCCAACUCUUCUUCAAGUUGUUCAACAACAGUCAUUGUUUGCAGAUGCAGCAUCACCAAGAUUCACAUGCAAAUACAGGGAAUCUGCAACUAUAGCUAUAGCCAGCCAAUACAUAUUGACUAAUUAUAUAUAUACAUUCUUCUACCCAAGUUCUUCUUUUUCGUUGUUUCUUCUUUUUGAAGGUGAGAAUCUUGAUGAUGCUGCAUCAGCAAUAAAUGGCUAAAGCUAGAUUUUGAUCCGUGGUACUCGGAAAAAAAGAAGGAAACUAGAUCCAAGAUUUUUAGCAGAAGCACUAAUAAACAAGGGAAUGAGACAGGCACAAUUAAAGAUCACUUGUUUAUAUAUAUGAAGCGAGAGAAACUGGUCAUGGAAUUGAAGAAGAAUCUGAAGGCCAUGUCAUGUGGGGGCAAAGGCAAUUACUGACAAAAGCUGUUAUGUCAUUUGACAAGUGAUCAACAAUUCAUUCAUUCCCUUCUUAUAUGGUCCACAAGUACAUGGAUUGAGGAUAAAAAAACAACUUCUAUGUGUACUACAGGAUCUUUGGAAAUCAGUUUAGCUAAGAAAUUUGCUUGUUUGCAUAUGAAAAAUAAUGCAUUUUUGGAUUGGUAUGUGAAAGUUCAUGCAUCACUUUUUGAUUGAUGCCCUUGCUGCUUCUUCUUAUCUCAAUCAUUAAUUUCUCAUCAAACAACUUAAACCCACUUAUCAUCUUUCUGCUUACACUAAUUUAGCUAGCAUUUUAUAGUUAAUUAAACUUUCUUUGAAUCAUAUAUAGUAAAUACUUAGUUGCCCUUUUUGUUAUCAAUUAAUUAAGUUUUGGUAGGACUUCUUCCAAUCUCUUCAUAGUUAUUGAGUUAAUGCUAAUUGGUGAAUUGCAUCAAAUUUAGACAUUGAGUUAUAUAUUUUGGAGUGAUUUUAGUUAUUAGAUUUAGAGCAUCAAUCUAAUAGUUUUGGAUAAUGAUUUUGACAAGCAAAAGUCACAAACAAUUAGUUCUUGAACUUUUUCUGUUUAUAGAUAUAGAUACUUUUCUCUUUGCGUGUGUGUGUGUGUAUAUAUUUCCUGGGAUUUUUGGAUUCUCUUUGAUAUUCAUUGUUUCAUACGAAGGCCAUAUACAUCAACCCUUUUUUGUAGAGCUUACAAAUAUGAGAUAUUUCAUAUACGAUGGUCACUUUUUUACUCUUUUUACUUUUUUUUACAUAAAAGAUGUUGUCUAUAGAUAAAAAUUUAGAAGGAUAUAUAUAUAUAGUAGACCCAUUUAAAAACUUAAACUCGAGACCUCUCACUCCUCACGUCUUCUACAAGAUGUGAAGAUUAACCAAAUCAUAGUAAACCAAUAUAGUGCACUAACUAAUUUAUUUAAUUUGAAUAUUAAAUAUAUUUGAAUGUUACAACUGCCUGUAUGACCAUAAUUUUAAGUUGAGGUGAACAUCUGCAAUGUAGAGAUAGCAAUGGCAGAGAAUUUAUCCUCCUGGCUUCAACUACUUCCGUAUAACUAAUUAGUAUUAUUGUCAUCAAGUAAUGAUUUGAUAUCUCAUACAAGGAGACAAUAGCAGCUCUUGCAUUAUUCAAUUUAAUGGAUUUAUUUGUUUAAAUUUCAUUAUGUUACAUACAAAUUUUAAUUUGAUAUGUUCGAUUUACUUGACUCCUAA
Long non-coding RNA from Jatropha curcas, 2197 nucleotides. RefSeq lists it as uncharacterized. The record is from RefSeq and is a predicted model, not a curated record. Lineage: Eukaryota; Viridiplantae; Streptophyta; Magnoliopsida; Malpighiales; Euphorbiaceae.